AUUGAACGCUGGCGGCAUGCCUUACACAUGCAAGUCGAACGGUAACGGGCCUUCGGGUGCCGACGAGUGGCGAACGGGUGAGUAAUGUAUCGGAACGUACCUUUCAGUGGGGGAUAACGUAGCGAAAGUUACGCUAAUACCGCAUAUUCUGUGAGCAGGAAAGCAGGGGAUCGCAAGACCUUGCGCUGAUUGAGCGGCCGAUAUCAGAUUAGCUAGUUGGUGAGGUAAAGGCUCACCAAGGCGACGAUCUGUAGCGGGUCUGAGAGGAUGAUCCGCCACACUGGAACUGAGACACGGUCCAGACUCCUACGGGAGGCAGCAAUGGGGAAUUUUGGACAAUGGGGGCAACCCUGAUCCAGCCAUGCCGCGUGAGUGAAGAAGGCCUUCGGGUCGUAAAGCUCUUUCGGCCGGGAAGAAAUCGUAUGGGUUAAUACCCUGUGCGGAUGACGGUAUCGGCAUAAGAAGCACCGGCUAACUACGUGCCAGCAGCCGCAGUAA
This 498-nucleotide ribosomal RNA is filed under the name uncultured bacterium. RNAcentral's name for it is "partial 16S ribosomal RNA". It matches the Rfam family "Bacterial small subunit ribosomal RNA", at positions 30 to 523 of the family's 1533-position model. The record is from RNAcentral.